GCGCUCACUUUGGCAGCACAUGGACUGAAACUGGGAAUGACACGGAGAUUCGCGUGGCCCACUGCAAGGAUGACACAGAAAUUCAUGAAGCAAUUCCAUAUUUUU
This is a small nuclear RNA of Mustela putorius furo (domestic ferret), 105 nucleotides long. The record is from Ensembl. NCBI's taxonomy places the organism in Eukaryota, Metazoa, Chordata, Mammalia, Carnivora, Mustelidae.